This 76-nucleotide transfer RNA is filed under the name Fusobacterium sp. FSA-380-WT-2B. RNAcentral's name for it is "tRNA-Asn". It matches the Rfam family "tRNA". From Rfam's summary of the family: Transfer RNA (tRNA) molecules are approximately 80 nucleotides in length. Their secondary structure includes four short double-helical elements and three loops (D, anti-codon, and T loops). The record is from RNAcentral. Lineage: Bacteria; Fusobacteriati; Fusobacteriota; Fusobacteriia; Fusobacteriales; Fusobacteriaceae.
GCUUCCUUAGCUCAGUUGGUAGAGCAUGCGGCUGUUAACCGCAGUGUCAAUGGUUCGAGUCCAUUAGGAAGCGCCA